This 883-nucleotide ribosomal RNA is filed under the name uncultured archaeon. Its description in RNAcentral is "bacterial SSU rRNA". It matches the Rfam family "Archaeal small subunit ribosomal RNA", at positions 35 to 922 of the family's 1478-position model. The record is from RNAcentral.
GGGAUUCGACUAAGCCAUGCGAGUCAAGGUGUCUUCGGACGCCGGCAUACGGCUCAGUAACACGUAGGUAACCUACCCUCAGGACUGAGAUAACCCCGGGAAACUGGGGCUAAUAUUAGAUAGAUAAAAGAUACUGGAAUGUUCUUUUAUCCAAAGCUUUUGCGCCUGAGGAUGGGCCUGCGUCCGAUUAGGUUGUUGGUGGGGUAAUGGCCCACCAAGCCUGCGAUCGGUACGGGCAGUGAGAGCUGAAGCCCGGAGUUGGGGACUGAGACAAGGCCCCUGGCCCUACGGGGCGCAGCAGGCGCGAAACCUCUGCAAUGCGGGAAACCGUGACAGGGGGAUCCCAAGUGCUCAUGCAUUGCAUGGGCUGUUCUUUGGUCUAAGUAACCAGAGGAGUAAGGGCUGGGCAAGACCGGUGCCAGCCGCCGCGGUAAUACCGGCAGCUCAAGUGGUAGCCGCGAUUAUUGGGCCUAAAGCGUUCGUAGCCGGAUAAGUAAGUCUUUGGUUAAAUCCUGCGACUUAACCGUGGGAAAUCUAGAGAUACUGCUUGUCUUGAGACCGGGAGAGGUUGGAGGUACUCCCAGGGUAGGGGUGAAAUCCUGUAAUCCUGGGGGGACCACCUGUGGCGAAGGCGUCCAACUGGAACGGGUCUGACGGUGAGGGACGAAACCUAGGGGAGCGAGCCGGAUUAGAUACCCGGGGUAGUCCUAGGCGUAAAUGAUGCGAGUUAAGUGUGGGGGCAUCUACGAGAUGGCCCUGUGCUGUAGGGUAGCCGUUAAACUCGCCGCCUGGGGAGUACGGUCGCAAGGCUGAAACUUAAAGGAGUUGGCGGGGGAGCACCACAAGAGGUGGAGGCUGCGGUUCAAUUGGAUUCAACGCCGGG